UGCUGUCCCCAACGCCACGACCGCGCAGCUGAUUGACAGUGACGCGCGCCACUGGCGGUACACCAGCAUACUGCUGCUCCGGGACCACUACAAGGCUGCGGUGGACGAGAAGGUGGGUGCUCUCCUCCUCCUUCCAGACCCCAUCUGGCGCCCGAACUUCACCGUGGCCCUGGCCUGGGCUCAGCGCCACUUCGGCCAACGCCUGCGCCUGGAGACGGUGAGCGCGCUGCGCUCUCGCCUCAGAGAGGUUCUGGACGUUCCGGUCCCUCUGGUCCAGCUGUUCCCACAACCCGCCCCUGGAGCCGUGCUGCCACGCUUCACCCUACCUGCUGGACCACCGCCUCCUGCCCCCGGCCUCCGGUCCCCUGGACCCGGUCCGGAGGCCCUUGACGUGGGGGUAGGACCUGCUGAACGGCGCUCCCCGGCCAGGCUGCCGUCGCCUACCUUUUCGCUGGCCUUCUCCUCCUCUCCUUCUUCUCCGCCCCUGUGCCCCCCCAUCCCCCCCGCCUCCUCUUCCUCUCCCGUUCCCCUUACCCCCUCUCCUCCACGGCCUGCAGCCCCGGGAAUUCUCCAGAGCACCACACCGUUGGCUCAAAUGACCAGGCUCGCGUCCAGCCGCCUCCGCCGACGAGUCGCAGCCAUGCCCGCUCCCGGACCUUCCUCUUCUCCUCUUCCUCCCCCUCCUCCUCCUCCACCGCCCUCCGGCUCGACACCCCCGCAUGGGUUAGCCCGGGCCGACGCGGAGAGAAACGACAUGCUAGAAGCCAACCCCUUCUGGUCUGCCGCCCAACGGCGCAGGUCGGAGAGGAUUUGGAUUGACAGGCUGGGGACCAUGCAACCCCUUGGUUUGAACGUUGGGGUGGGUCGGGGACCCCUGGGGAGCCGCCUGAUGAUGGCCCGUGCCAGCGACGCCACCGUGGCGUCGUUAAUUGCUGACUGUCCUAACCCUAACCCUCUCCCUCACCUGACCCUAACCCUAACCCCGACCCUCUCCCGGUCCUAAACCUAACCCUUCCCACCCCUGACCCUAACCCCAACCCCCUCCCUUACCUAGCCCUUACCCUGACCCCGCCCCCUGCCCCUAAACCUAACCUCUCCCACCCCUGACCCUAACCCCAACCUCUCCCUUCCCUACCCCCCAAAGGCCCCCUUACAUGACCUCCACCCCAGCCCCCGGCCCCCCACAAAGGAUCCCCCUUUCUUAUUUUUCUUACCAUGUGUUUGUGUUUAUUCUGCCCCCCUGCCCCAGCCCCCCUUCGUCCCCCUAUUUUUUUAUUUUUCAUACAUUCCUAUUUACAAACAAUAUUACUUUUAAUAUGGUUUCCAAAUGCACCCUGUGUAAUUAUUCUAUUGAUGUCCUGUGCC
This 1365-nucleotide long non-coding RNA is filed under the name Gadus morhua (Atlantic cod). RNAcentral's name for it is "lncRNA (ENSGMOG00000033312.1)". Lineage: Eukaryota; Metazoa; Chordata; Actinopteri; Gadiformes; Gadidae. The record is from RNAcentral.